UACGUGCCAGCAGCCGCGGUAAUACGUAGGUGGCAAGCGUUGUCCGGAUUUAUUGGGCGUAAAGCGAGCGCAGGCGGUCAAUUAAGUCUGAUGUGAAAGCCCCCGGCUCAACCGGGGAGGGUCAUUGGAAACUGGUUGACUUGAGUGCAGAAGAGGAGAGUGGAAUUCCAUGUGUAGCGGUGAAAUGCGUAGAUAUAUGGAGGAACACCAGUGGCGAAGGCGACUCUCUGGUCUGUAACUGACGCUGAGGCUCGAAAGCGUGGGUAGCAAACAGGAUUAGAUACCCUGGUAGUCCACGCCGUAAACGAUGUCGACUUGGAGGUUGUGCCCUUGAGGCGUGGCUUCCGGAGCUAACGCGUUAAGUCGACCGCCUGGGGAGUACGGCCGCAAGGUUAAAACUCAAAUGAAUUGACGGGGGCCCGCACAAGCGGUGGAGCAUGUGGUUUAAUUCGAUGCAACGCGAAGAACCUUACCUACUCUUGACAUCCAGA
RNAcentral lists this ribosomal RNA (491 nucleotides) under uncultured bacterium. RNAcentral's name for it is "bacterial SSU rRNA". It matches the Rfam family "Bacterial small subunit ribosomal RNA", at positions 502 to 992 of the family's 1533-position model. The record is from RNAcentral.